GCCGGCCUGCAAGGUUGGUGAUGGUGGUAACCGAUUUUUGAACCAACACCUGAAUGAACGGGGACUUGACUCGAUUACAUGAUCCGGUGUGCGAUGCUCCGCCAUGCGGAGAUGCCUAAAGGGUCUCGGCGGGUUCCCACCGUCUACGACGGGUUCAUUCUCGGCCCGCCACACCGCUCAGUGGGUCGGCU
RNAcentral lists this non-coding RNA (191 nucleotides) under Acidobacteriota bacterium. Its description in RNAcentral is "Acidobacteria bacterium 6S RNA". It matches the Rfam family "6S / SsrS RNA". From Rfam's summary of the family: E. coli 6S RNA was the first non coding RNA to be sequenced, but its function was unknown until recently. It consists of 184 nucleotides that fold into an extended hairpin structure with a large single-stranded internal bulge. Lineage: Bacteria; Pseudomonadati; Acidobacteriota. The record is from RNAcentral.